This 253-nucleotide ribosomal RNA is filed under the name uncultured bacterium. RNAcentral's name for it is "partial 16S ribosomal RNA". It matches the Rfam family "Bacterial small subunit ribosomal RNA", at positions 524 to 776 of the family's 1533-position model. The record is from RNAcentral.
UACGUAGGUGGCAAGCGUUGUCCGGAUUCAUUGGGCGUAAAGAGCUCGUAGGCGGCCACUCAAGUCGAAUGUGAAACCUCGAGGCUUAACCUCGAGCCUGCAUUCGAUACUGGGCGGCUAGAGUCUGGUAGGGGGAUCUGGAAUUCCUGGCGUAGCGGUGGAAUGCGCAGAUAUCAGGAGGAACACCGGUGGCGAAGGCGAGUCCCUGGACAACACCUGACACUGAGGCACGAAAGCUAGGGGAGCAGACAGG